AUUGAACGCUGGCGGCAUGCCUUACACAUGCAAGUCGAACGGCAGCACGGGAGCAAUCCUGGUGGCGAGUGGCGAACGGGUGAGUAAAGUAUCGGAACGUGCCCAGUCGUGGGGGAUAACGUAGCGAAAGUUACGCUAAUACCGCAUACGAUCUAUGGAUGAAAGAGGGGGAUCGCAAGACCUCGCGCGAUUGGAGCGGUCGAUAUCAGAUUAGGUAGUUGGUGGGGUAAAGGCUCACCAAGCCGACGACCUGUAGCUGGUCUGAGAGGACGACCAGCCCCACUGGGACUGAGACACGGCCCAGACUCCUACGGGAGGCAGCAGUGGGGAAUUUUGGACAAUGGGCGAAAGCCUGAUCCAGCCAUGCCGCGUGCAGGAUGAAGGCCUUCGGGUUGUAAACUGCUUUUGUACGGAACGAAAAGGUUUGGCCUAAUAAGCUGAGCUCAUGACGGUACCGUAAGAAUAAGCACCGGCUAACUACGUGCCAGCAGCCGCCGUAA
Molecule: ribosomal RNA, 500 nt
Filed under: uncultured bacterium
Lineage: Bacteria
Description: partial 16S ribosomal RNA
Rfam family: Bacterial small subunit ribosomal RNA
Source: RNAcentral